AUGGAAGCAUGCCAAGGUGAAGUUGACGAUCUCUUUAGCCUUUCUCCUUCUCUCCUUGCCCUAUGAGCUCAUGUAGUGAGUGCCGCAGGAUGAUUUAGUUCUGAGCGAGGGCUUGACCCGUUGAGGAGGGCAUAUUCUUCUGCAUCUCUCUUGUCGGAUCGCCUCCCCGUGUCCACGUCGUCGAAGAGAUAG
This 192-nucleotide ribosomal RNA is filed under the name Triticum aestivum (bread wheat). RNAcentral's name for it is "partial small subunit ribosomal RNA". Lineage: Eukaryota; Viridiplantae; Streptophyta; Magnoliopsida; Poales; Poaceae. The record is from RNAcentral.